UACGUAGGGAGCAAGCGUUGUCCGGAUUCACUGGGUGUAAAGGGUGCGCAGGCGGAUCGGUAAGUCAGAGGUGAAAUCUCACAGCUCAACUGUGAAACUGCCUUUGAUACUGCUGAUCUUGAGUAUGGGAGAGGGAUGUAGAAUUCCAGGUGUAGCGGUGAAAUGCGUAGAUAUCUGGAGGAACACCGGUGGCGAAGGCGGCAUCCUGGACCGGCAUUGACGCUGAGGAGCGAAAGCCAGGGGAGCAAACGGG
RNAcentral lists this ribosomal RNA (253 nucleotides) under uncultured bacterium. RNAcentral's name for it is "partial 16S ribosomal RNA". It matches the Rfam family "Bacterial small subunit ribosomal RNA", at positions 524 to 776 of the family's 1533-position model. The record is from RNAcentral.